GCUCCAAUAGCGUAUAUUAAAGUUGCUGCAGUUAAAAAGCUCGUAGUUGGAUUUCUGGUUUGAUACAGUUUACCGGCCACGGUUUCGUGUGUUAGUGUUUGCUGUUCUGACCAUCCUUCCAAUCGCUGCUCACUUUUCUUCAUUGAUUGGUGAGUGGUAUUGGAUCUUUUACUUUGAAAAAAUUAGAGUGUUUCAAGCAG
RNAcentral lists this ribosomal RNA (200 nucleotides) under uncultured eukaryote. RNAcentral's name for it is "partial 18S ribosomal RNA". It matches the Rfam family "Eukaryotic small subunit ribosomal RNA", at positions 588 to 783 of the family's 1831-position model. The record is from RNAcentral.